AUGACAAAAAGGAACAUAAACUACUACCUAAUGCCAGAUGAAGAAGACCCAGUAAGGCCAGUUCCAAACAAGAUUGGAAAGGUGAUGUUUCUCACAGCAGUUGCAAGGCCCAGAUACGACGCUGACGGGAAUGUCACAUUCUCAGGAAAGAUUGGGGUUUGGCCUUUCGUCACAACAGUUGUGACAUAAAGAAGGAGUGAAAAUAAAGAACGAGGUGUCAUAGAAUUCAAGUCACUCAUGGUGAACAGAGAAGUCAUGAGAUGA
Molecule: ribosomal RNA, 264 nt
Filed under: Triticum aestivum (bread wheat)
Lineage: Eukaryota; Viridiplantae; Streptophyta; Magnoliopsida; Poales; Poaceae
Description: partial small subunit ribosomal RNA
Source: RNAcentral